UACGUAGGGUGCGAGCGUUGUCCGGAAUUACUGGGCGUAAAGAGCUCGUAGGCGGUUUGUCGCGUCGUCCGUGAAAACUUGGGGCUCAACCCCAAGCUUGCGGGCGAUACGGGCAGACUUGAGUACUGCAGGGGAGACUGGAAUUCCUGGUGUAGCGGUGAAAUGCGCAGAUAUCGGGAGGAACACCAGUAGCGAAGGCGGCACUCUGGGCCGGUACUGACGCUGAGGAGCGAAAGCGUGGGGAGCAAACAGG
RNAcentral lists this ribosomal RNA (253 nucleotides) under uncultured bacterium. Its description in RNAcentral is "partial 16S ribosomal RNA". It matches the Rfam family "Bacterial small subunit ribosomal RNA", at positions 524 to 776 of the family's 1533-position model. The record is from RNAcentral.